GGAGAAGUGGCAGAGUUCGGUUUAAUGCACCUGACUUGAAAUCAGACGUCGGAGCAAUCUGACCGGGGGUUCGAAUCCCUCCUUCUCCGCCA
This 92-nucleotide transfer RNA is filed under the name Thiothrix sp. RNAcentral describes it as "tRNA-Ser". It matches the Rfam family "tRNA". From Rfam's summary of the family: Transfer RNA (tRNA) molecules are approximately 80 nucleotides in length. Their secondary structure includes four short double-helical elements and three loops (D, anti-codon, and T loops). Further hydrogen bonds mediate the characteristic L-shaped molecular structure. tRNAs have two regions of fundamental functional importance: the anti-codon, which is responsible for specific mRNA codon recognition, and the 3' end, to which the tRNAs corresponding amino acid is attached (by aminoacyl-tRNA synthetases). tRNAs cope with the degeneracy of the genetic code in two manners: having more than one tRNA (with a specific anti-codon) for a particular amino acid; and 'wobble' base-pairing, i.e. permitting non-standard base-pairing at the 3rd anti-codon position. The record is from RNAcentral. RNAcentral also lists the same sequence under 1 other name. Lineage: Bacteria; Pseudomonadati; Pseudomonadota; Gammaproteobacteria; Thiotrichales; Thiotrichaceae.